Molecule: transfer RNA, 95 nt
Filed under: Actinoplanes digitatis
Lineage: Bacteria; Bacillati; Actinomycetota; Actinomycetes; Micromonosporales; Micromonosporaceae
Description: tRNA-Ser
Source: RNAcentral
CGUGAUCAUGCGCCGGGGACUGCGCCGGCGCCGGCUCGAGGCGGGCGCACCGCACGAGCGGAUCACCGGGGCGUGGUUCGAGUUCACGGACGCGC